GAGUUUGAUCCUGGCUCAGGAUGAACGCUAGCGACAGGCUUAACACAUGCAAGUCGAGGGGCAGCGGGGAGCAAGCUUGCUUGCUCUGCCGGCGACCGGCGCACGGGUGAGUAACACGUAUGCAACCUGCCCUCCGCAGGGGGAUAACCCGGAGAAAUCCGGACUAAUACCGCGUGGUACAUCUGUGGGGCAUCCCACGGGUGUUAAAAGGAAGCGAUUCCGGCGGAGGAUGGGCAUGCGGCGCAUUAGCUUGUUGGCGGGGUAACGGCCCACCAAGGCGACGAUGCGUAGGGGUUCUGAGAGGAAGGUCCCCCACACUGGUACUGAGACACGGACCAGACUCCUACGGGAGGCAGCAGUGAGGAGUAUUGGUCAAUGGGCGGGAGCCUGAACCAGCCAAGUCGCGUGAGGGAAGACGGUCCUAUGGAUUGUAAACCUCUUUAGGCGGGGAGCAAUGCCGGGCACGCGUGCCCGGAGGGAGAGUACCCGCAGAAUAAGCAUCGGCUAACUCCGUGCCAGCAGCCGCGGUAAUACGGAGGAUGCGAGCGUUAUCCGGAUUUAUUGGGUUUAAAGGGUGCGUAGGCGGAUUUUUAAGUCAGCGGUAAAAUGUCCGGGCUCAACCCGGGCCGGCCGUUGAAACUGGGGAUCUUGAGUGGGC
Molecule: ribosomal RNA, 658 nt
Filed under: uncultured bacterium
Lineage: Bacteria
Description: bacterial SSU rRNA
Rfam family: Bacterial small subunit ribosomal RNA
Source: RNAcentral